UCUUCAGCCUCGUUCCCCGGUAGUAUAAAGAUUGCUGUCUCCUUUGUUCGCCCUCGAUGCGCAGUAGUCCUAGCGUUAUUUCUUUUCUGGUCUGAAAAUCGGUAGCUGUCACUGGUGCAGCGCUGCUUGGAGGGUCCUGCCGGCGAUCUCCUAGAAGCGUGAGACCACUGCAGUCCCCUCGGAAGGCUCCCAUUGGUUGAAAAAAUGGUUGAAGCAGAUCGUCCAGGAAAGCUCUUUAUUGGUGGGCUUAACACAGAAACAAAUGAAAAAGCCCUUGAAGCAGUAUUUGGCAAAUAUGGACGAAUAGUGGAAGUGCUUUUGAUGAAGGACAGAGAGACCAAUAAGUCAAGAGGUUUUGCUUUUGUGACUUUUGAAAGCCCAGCAGAUGCAAAGGAUGCUGCCAGAGACAUGAAUGGAAAGUCCUUAGAUGGAAAAGCCAUCAAGGUGGAGCAAGCCACCAAACCAUCAUUUGAAAGUGGCAGGCGUGGACUACCUCCACCUCCAAGAAGCAGAGGCCCUCCCAGAGGUCUUCGGGGAACAAGAGGAGGGAGUGGAGGAGCAAGAGGACCCCCUUCACGUGGAGGACACAUGGACGAUGGUGGCUAUUCCAUGAAUUUUACCAUGAGUUCUUCAAGGGGUCCUCUUCCAGUAAAAAGAGGACCACCACCACGAAGUGGUGGUCCUCCUCCUAAAAGACCAGCCCCUUCAGGACCAGUCCGCAACAGCAGUGGAAUGGGAGGAAGAGCUCCAGUGUCUCAUGGGAGAGAUAGUUAUGGAGGCCCCCCACGAAGGGAACCCCUGCCUUCUCGAAGAGAUGUUUAUUUGUCCCCGAGAGAUGAUGGAUAUUCCACUAAAGACAGCUAUUCAAGCAGAGACUAUCCAAGUUCUCGAGACACAAGAGAUUAUGCACCACCGCCAAGAGAUUAUACAUACCGUGAUUAUGGUCAUUCCAGUUCACGUGAUGACUAUCCAUCCAGAGGCUAUGGUGAUAGAGACGGAUAUGGUCGGGACCGUGACUACUCAGAUCAUCCAGGCGGAGGUUCCUAUAGAGAUACAUAUGAGAGCUAUGGAACAGCUUGAUUGCAAAGGAGAAAAUAGAUAAGCAAUGAAGUUAUCUCCAACUUCCUAAAGGCUUAUGACUUCUAAAAAGUGAAUCUAUCAGCAUUCCACAUCAGAUUUAAAGCACCAAAUGCCUGUGAAACAGCAAAGAUGGUUGAACAUAAUGGUCAUAUGAUCAGGAAGUGCUGAUUGGUUCAUAGUAGAUAAAGCUGGCAGUAAGGAAAAAUCAAAUACUCAGAGUUGUUGAAGCAGAGGAAUGCUGAGACUAAGCUGCAGCAAUGUCAUAACCAGUGCUCAUCAAAAUUGGUUUGGAACAGGCAGUGGAAUUUUAUUUUGUUUUUUGUCUUGAAGGGAGGGAGGCAUUGGUGUCGAUUAAACCUUAUUUAGGGAGGGGUGAAUCACUUAAAUUGGCCAAAGGGAAAGAAGGAAACUGAUUGGUAAGUGGAGAUAUCUUCCCAGGAAGUUCUCAUGGCUUUUUGUAGAUUUAGUAAUUUAGGCAAAUAAUGGGGCAAUGAUGAUAACUGGCUAUAAGAAAAUUGAAUUAGCUGGGACUGUAACUCCAUGGUGGGGGGAGGGCUUCUAAGAUACCAGUGAGGCCUAGAGUUUGAUCCCUGGUACCACACAUAGGAAAAGAAAAGUCAAUCAGAAAAAUGAUACUUCAGUGGUAACUUUAUGCACUGAUGUCUGAUUUUUAACAAGAAAACCAUUUGGGGGAAUUGCCUUUUCAGGGAAAAAAAAAACAUUUUACUUGUCCUCUAAAACUUAUAAGAGGAAGAGCAAUGCUAGGAAAUGAAAGUAAAAACCGGAAACAUUGUUAAGAUAGUGGAAAGCAUACUGGAAAGAAAAGUAGGUCACUAGGUCACUAUAGUUUUAUAAAGGUACUUUACCCUCAGGUCUCAAUCUUGGAAACAAAUCAUUACACAACUCUAGUUUAUUGCUUUGGAAAUUAAGAGUCAGUAAUGUAAAUAUGGAUAUUUUCAGAGGAAACAGGUUGAGUUACAGGGUUAAAGGAGUUAAUUCAACUUCUAAGGGUUUUCUUAGAAAUUCAUUACAGUACAGUCAUGUUUAACAUUUAUACUUAGGGAAAAGGAUCCAAAACUUUUAACUCCAUUGGUCACAUUUCUCAUCAGAUCAUGAGGGUAUUGACCAAAUUUCAGUAGUUGUAUUUGAAUAAGCUAUGUUAACUCAAACCUUCCAUACUGUACUAAUUCCUUGAGUAGGUGCUUCUUUCAAGACCUUUUGGCUCUGAGAUUUUAUUUUGAUUUCUUAAAGAUAGUUUGGCAUAGGUUAUCCUACAGUAAAUAUGAAUGCUGAAUUCAAAAUAGGGAGUAGGUAGAAAUUAUCAAGAGACCAUUUUGAAAAAUGGUAAAGAUUAUAGACCAACAGGCCUAAAAUCUGUAGUUAAGAGAAAAAUUAUCUUUGAUUCUUCUGGCUAAACACUGCUUGUAAAAGAAUAAAGCAGAAAGUGUUGUGGUUUAUUUGGUAGUUGGAUGUUGAGCUUAGGUUUAUAUUGUAGAUCAUUUUUUGGAAUGUUUUGUAUUGAAACCCAAUAAAACUCGAACAUGCA
This is an RNA transcript of Meriones unguiculatus (Mongolian gerbil), 2626 nucleotides long. It is a transcript of the gene named RNA binding motif protein X-linked, with no coding region annotated. The record is from RefSeq and is a predicted model, not a curated record. The transcript has 11 exons. Lineage: Eukaryota; Metazoa; Chordata; Mammalia; Rodentia; Muridae.